This 1072-nucleotide ribosomal RNA is filed under the name uncultured organism. RNAcentral's name for it is "bacterial SSU rRNA". It matches the Rfam family "Bacterial small subunit ribosomal RNA", at positions 133 to 1221 of the family's 1533-position model. The record is from RNAcentral.
GCACAGAGGGAUAACACCGGGAAACUGGUGCUAAUACCACAUGAUAUCAUAACAAGGCAUCUUGAAAUGAUCAAAGGAGAAAUCCGGUGCAAGAUGGGCCUGCGUCCGAUUAGUUAGUUGGUGAGGUAACGGCUCACCAAGGCGACGAUCGGUAGCCGAACUGAGAGGUUGAUCGGCCACAUUGGGACUGAGACACGGCCCAGACUCCUACGGGAGGCAGCAGUGGGGAAUAUUGCGCAAUGGGGGGAACCCUGACGCAGCAACGCCGCGUGAAGGAAGAAGGCCUUCGGGUUGUAAACUUUUUUGAUUGGGGAAGAAAAAAAUGACGGUACCCAAGGAACAAGCCACGGCUAACUACGUGCCAGCAGCCGCGGUAAUACGUAGGUGGCGAGCGUUGUCCGGAAUCACUGGGUGUAAAGGGCGUGUAGGCGGGAUUGUAAGUCAGAUGUGAAAUUCCAGGGCUUAACUCUGGAGGUGCAUCUGAAACUAUAAUUCUUGAGUGCUGGAGAGGAAAGCGGAAUUCCUAGUGUAGCGGUGAAAUGCGUAGAUAUUAGGAAGAACACCAGUGGCGAAGGCGGCUUUCUGGACAGUAACUGACGCUGAGGCGCGAAAGCGUGGGGAGCAAACAGGAUUAGAUACCCUGGUAGUCCACGCUGUAAACGAUGGAUACUAGGUGUAGGAGGUAUCGACCCCUUCUGUGCCGGAGUUAACACAAUAAGUAUCCCACCUGGGGAGUACGGCCGCAAGGCUGGAAACUCAAGGAAUUGACGGGGGCCCGCACAAGCAGUGGAGUAUGUGGUCUAAUUCGAAGCAACGCGAAGAACCUUACCAGGGCUUGACAUCCCUCGGAUAACAUAGAGAUAUGUUAGUCCUUCGGGACGAGGAGACAGGUGGUGCAUGUUUGUCGUCAGCUCGUGUCGUGAGACGUUGGUUUAAGUCCCGCAACGAGCGCAACCCCUAUUGUUAGUAAACAUCAUUAAGUUGGGCACUCUAACGAGACUGCCGGUGACAAAUCGGACCCAGGUGGGGACGACGUCAAAUCAUCAUGCCCCUUAUGUCCUGGGCUACACAC